GGUCUGCGCCCGCCUCCCCAUCGUCUCCUGGUCGCCUCCCCACUGCGCUGCGCAGGCCGUAGCCCUGGCUCUCCCCCCCCCCCCCCACCCCCUACCUUAGCUGUCCUGGGAGGCACAAGCCUCCGAAUCCAUGGGAACAGAGACGACCACUUUCUUGUCUAGAUGAGGAAGAAAGGAAGGAGGGAAAAGACAUGGAAGAAGCAUUUUUAUGAUGUCCAAUGCCAUGACUGGGCAUAGAAAGGGGAGGGAGGGCUCAUGAGACCCUGUGGUGUUUUUAAAUGUUUUCCCGUAGCUCAUUAAAAGCGAAUGGACAGGGACAAACAUUUACCGAAUACUUCCGUACCAGCCACUGUCCUAGGUGCUUUCCUGAUGUUCCUGUAUUUAAUCUUCAUAACCAUUUGAAUGAGGAUCAGGGUGUGGGCUGCCCUGAGUCAUCCAUCUCCUGGUAACAUAUAGAUCCCAGAAAAAAAUCAAAACAAGAACACUGAAACAGACGUGUUUCACAGAGAGCAAAGGUCUGAAGCCUCACCCAACCCUGUGGAGAGCCCUGGAGCUGAAAUGACUGUCAGAGUUGUCCCAAAGUGAGCCAAAAUGGCUGGAACUUUAUACCCUCACCUCAAUGGGGUGACUUCCUACAAGCAGCAAUCUGCAGCCAAAAGACCUGACAGCUAGAGGCUGUCAGCCAACAGCACUCCAACAGCUGGAACAGAGUCCUUCACUGAAGGGGAUCUGAAUAGUACAUCUCUGUAUCUGCUACUAAUGCACCUGUAUGAUGUAAGGCAUACAAAUCUAAAACACUUUGCAUAGUAGGUGAAGCUGAUUUUAGAAAAUUGUUUUUUACACCAGUGGGCUUUUCUGACAACUUUCCAUAAAUCUACAGAUCCAAUACAACUCUAUUUAUGUGUCCCUCCCUUCUUUAUUUGUAUCUUUUCUUGUGCUUUAUACCCUAAAUAUCCAUCUUCCCCUUUUCUUCAUUCAUUCUUCUUUUCUGUCCUCCUUCAUUCUGGAAACUUUCAGAAAUUCCUCCUGUCUGAUAUUUUUUUCCCUACUGCAAUUUUCCCAUCUUCAACUCCUUCUACUGAAGGUAACUCAUAACUAUUACAUUUAAUUUAACAAUUCCAGGCCCUGUUUUUCAUCACGUAAAAAAAUCACUUGUGUAUGCAGUGACAGCAUUAAUUACAAGUGGAGUGGUUAUCAUCUUUAAUAUGGUAUUGAGAAGGAAAAGCUUGGGCUGGGCCAACACUGGGCUGGGCUAACUCAUAAAUUUUAAGUUAACUCAUGAAUUUUAAGUUUCACCUUGCUAGACUGGUUUCGGGUUAUUGCAAGCGACCCUUUGCUUCCGCUUUUAUGAUACUGCCUAGCUGUACUCACCCUAUUGGCUGAUGGACCCCGAGCUUGUAAGCGACCCUAUAAAACCUCACUCACACUUCCCAGAGGCACUCAGAGCUCUGGAGCAAUAGCCCCUCUGAGCUCGCCGGCAUAAUAAACCUGAGUACU
Long non-coding RNA from Camelus dromedarius (Arabian camel), 1497 nucleotides. RefSeq lists it as uncharacterized. The record is from RefSeq and is a predicted model, not a curated record. Lineage: Eukaryota; Metazoa; Chordata; Mammalia; Artiodactyla; Camelidae. The transcript has 3 exons.